AAGCUACACUCUGUGGCAGAAGUCUGCAAAGACCGUGAUCUGUCUCAAUUUGAGCUUUGCUACAGAAACGUCUGUCCGAUCCGCUGAAGUGUCCGCUCCUCUUGGACUCUUUCUGAUGAGAGGACAGCGACAUU
Molecule: non-coding RNA, 134 nt
Organism: Xyrichtys novacula (pearly razorfish)
Lineage: Eukaryota; Metazoa; Chordata; Actinopteri; Labriformes; Labridae
Source: the annotation of a GenBank genome assembly